CCCUUAGAUGUCCUGGGCCGCACGCGCGCUACACUGAGUGUCUGAGAUACGAGUCUGCCUGGUCCGGCAAGGUCUAGGUAAUCGCUAAAAGACACAUCAUGCUUGGGAUAGAUUAUUGCAAAUAUUAAUCUUGAACGAGGAAUUCCUAGUAAGCGCAAGUCAACAGCUUGUGUUGAUUACGUCCCUGCCCUUUGUACACACCGCCCGUCGCUACUACUGAUUGGAUGUUUAAGCGAGGUUCUCGAACUGCUAGCGACUUAGCUUCGGUGAGGUCGCAGUGUGGGAAGUGAACCUAGCUUUGGUGUCUAGAGGAAGUAAAAGUCGUAACA
This 329-nucleotide ribosomal RNA is filed under the name uncultured eukaryote. Its description in RNAcentral is "partial 18S ribosomal RNA". It matches the Rfam family "Eukaryotic small subunit ribosomal RNA", at positions 1470 to 1796 of the family's 1831-position model. The record is from RNAcentral.